CCUACGGGCAGCUGCAGUGGGGAAUAUUGGACAAUGGGCGAAAGCCUGAUCCAGCCAUGCCGCGUGUGUGAAGAAGGCCUUCGGGUUGUAAAGCACUUUCAGUGGGGAAGAAAGCCUUGGGGCUAAUACCCUCGAGGAAGGACAUCACCCACAGAAGAAGCACCGGCUAACUCCGUGCCAGCAGCCGCGGUAAUACGGAGGGUGCGAGCGUUAAUCGGAAUUACUGGGCGUAAAGCGCGCGUAGGCGGUCUGAUAAGCCGGUUGUGAAAGCCCCGGGCUCAACCUGGGAACGGCAUCCGGAACUGUCAGGCUAGAGUGCAGGAGAGGAAGGUAGAAUUCCCGGUGUAGCGGUGAAAUGCGUAGAGAUCGGGAGGAAUACCAGUGGCGAAGGCGGCCUUCUGGACUGACACUGACGCUGAGGUGCGAAAGCGUGGGUAGCAAACAGGAUUAGAUACCCUAGUAGUC
RNAcentral lists this ribosomal RNA (465 nucleotides) under Vreelandella stevensii. Its description in RNAcentral is "partial 16S ribosomal RNA". It matches the Rfam family "Bacterial small subunit ribosomal RNA", at positions 338 to 795 of the family's 1533-position model. The record is from RNAcentral. Lineage: Bacteria; Pseudomonadati; Pseudomonadota; Gammaproteobacteria; Oceanospirillales; Halomonadaceae.